AAAGCCUUAGUCACCAUGUUCUUGAUAUUCCUUUGACAUUUGUCAUCAAAACCUUGCAAAUAAUCUCACUACAUACAUCAAUGGACAAUCCACCAUUUCUAUAAAUAACUGUUCAAUUAGACUGAAAUUUCAAGCAAAAACAACCAUCAACAAACAAUAACCAUUUCAAUUUCAGUUUCAAAUUCGAUUUUGAUUUUCAUUUCUAAAUUACCUCUUACAUUGAAUUCAAACUAAAAACUACCACAACCACCACCGUGAUUGCCGCCACCACCACCCUUGACCGUUGCCACCACCACAACAACCCACCACCACCACUCCCUUUGCCGCCCUCUCUCUCCUCCUCACUCGACCCCCCUGCCUUCACGCCCAGCCAGCACCACCGUGCUGCUGCGCUGGCGACGCUCCACCCCCUUUCAUCCUUACUGCCGCCACGAAACCCAAACACGCCUCCCUUCCCUGCCGCCGGCAGCCGACCACCACCCAACUUCCUCCAUUUCCUCCUUCCUCUGUCAUGCGUGCUUCUUGCUUUCCCUCUUCUUCGUUCGACUUCCAGGAACCCAGGAAAUAAAUUGCUUCUUUUUUUCCAGUAAACCCACAACAAAAAGGGCUGGCCCAAUUCUAAAAUAGUUGGGUUUUCGGAAUUCAGACUCGAAGCUCAGAAGGAACGCACCAAGGAAAAGGCUUAACAAAUCGCGGAAUUGAGGUACUGUUGGGGACCACGGGAACGAAUAGUGGCAAGGAUUUCACUAUAGCAAUGUUCACCUAAGUUAAUAGUUUAAGUAACGACUUUUAGUAAGUUAUGUACUUUAUGAAAUUUAAAAGGAUUAUUAUGUUAAUUCGGAGAUUUAAUGGCUUUUGUUAUGAUGUUGACUUGUAAUUCCCAAGAUGGAGUUACGGCAGUAAUCGAAUUAGGAUGUUUCCGCUGCUAAGUAUGCUUAAUUCCAUGAAUUAGAGGUCGGGCGGUACACUUCUUGCUAUACAACUUCAAACACAUUAUGCCUACAAAGAUCUGGGGUUGGGAGACUAUGCUCUUGAGUCUUGGCACCUUGAGUAUUAUCCCCUGGCUCUUCCCGCAAUCAUUCAUCAAUCUUCCCCUUGCCCAAGCGGCGGGAGAAGGAACUUGCUAGUCUUCCAAGACGGGACACUACAAGAAAAAAGGGUUAUAACAACGCCAUUUUAUGCAACAGUUUUGUUGGCGUUGCUAUAUAAUAGCUAUUACAACAGAUAAAUAAUUAUUAAUUUAAGUAGACUUUGACUCAAGAAUAGUGUUGCUAUAGAAAAACUAUGGCAACAAUUAUAUAUUAUCAUUUUGUUAUUGCAACAGUUUUUACUUUUUUAAUAUUUUUAUGAAAUAUUGCAACAGUUUUUUUGUCAAGUAUCUAAAUUAAGUAAAAAAAAUAAACAAAAAUAUAAUAAAUAAAAAUACGAAGUAGGUUAUUGAAUUUUUUCCAUAGACCGCAAUUUUCUUUUUAGGUUUCCCUCCUUCCCAGUUUAUCGUCAAAGCCUUGUACACUUUCAUCUUCUUCGUUCUUCUUCUCUUUCACCCUCAUCGUCGUUCUCGAUCCCCUUCAUAAUCAUUUGUUAAAGCAUGGCGAAUUGGAGUUUGGCGUUUCUGAAUUUGGAAUUGGGUGACCAAAUUGGAGAAGGAGAAAUUGGUGAAUUACGUUUCUGAAUUGACAAGAAGAACAAGGAUUUUGGUAAUAUUGAAGCCCUAAUGUACUCUAGACUCUAGCCAUUUGUACGCCACCAUUUACACCAGCAGUAUUGCAAUAAUAGACUUGGUCCUCGGUCAAUUGAUAAUGGCAUUUAAACAGUUCCAUAGUCCUGACUGAAUCAAAGGAUGGUGCAUAUAGUCAAGAAGUACGAGCUACUUAAAAUAUGUGGAGAUUUAUAGGGCACAAAAUAUUAGACAGGUUUUAAGAAAUAAAGCUAUCGUAUUGUGAUUAUUGCAGGAUUUUUUAAUUUUAAUGGAGGUAGUUUUAGAACCAAUAUUUUUUUGAACUAUUCAGGCAAUUGUAAUAUUAUUAUUCUUAUAAAUUUACAAAUUUUAAACUUAUUUGUUAUGAAAAUCUUAUUAUAUGUAGUUCACAUUUAU
Molecule: long non-coding RNA, 2095 nt
Organism: Spinacia oleracea (spinach)
Lineage: Eukaryota; Viridiplantae; Streptophyta; Magnoliopsida; Caryophyllales; Amaranthaceae
Exons: 6
Source: RefSeq, a predicted model, not a curated record